This 24422-nucleotide long non-coding RNA is filed under the name Chlamydomonas reinhardtii. RNAcentral describes it as "long non-coding RNA (CREI_LNC001144)". Lineage: Eukaryota; Viridiplantae; Chlorophyta; Chlorophyceae; Chlamydomonadales; Chlamydomonadaceae. The record is from RNAcentral.
AGCUGCAAAGCAGAAUGAAAAAUGGAGGGACAAGAUCAGAACCACAACCGAAGGCGUGUCGAGGGGGGGCACGGCGCAACCCAUAGCUAGCCAUUUCUACAUGCCAUGCCAACCCCAUAGCAGCACACAGUACUGCUUUUUAGACAUUAGGACAAGCAAACCUCAAGCAGUCACAUCCCAACUCACCAGUUCUUCGUGUCGUCAAACACGUUGCCCCAGCACACGCCAUCGUUGGCAGGCAGGCAGAAGUCCGACAGGGGGGUGUCGUUCUUCAGCUCCAGGCAGAUCUUGCCGCCAUUCGCCUGGUCCUUGCUCCAGUUCAGGGGGGUAGCCUUAACGGUCUGCUCGUCCACAGCGCCCCAGGUGGCGGACAGCCACUUGCCGGUGCCGGUCUUGGGCUGCACGUACACGCCGGUGAUGGCGCGGCGCUUCUUGUCGUCGGCGUAGAACUCGGCCUUGAGCAGGCUGGUGCUCCGGCCGCAGGGGCUGGUGGCGCUGUUGGGGGUCACCAGGGUGAUGCUGAAGCAGUAAGCAGUGGUGUCCUUGGUGCGGCCGGCCAUGCUCGACAUCGCGGGCGCAAUGGCGAAGGGGGUGGCGCCGGGAGUGGUGACGCACUGGCACUUGGGGAAGUCGGGGGUCUGCAGGGCGCAGGCGGCCGAGGCCUGGGCGUUGAUGCACGACUGGGGCAGGCCGGCGACGGCGUCGCCCAUGCCGCCAACAGAGACGACCACGGUGUAUCCGGCCAGGGCGGGGCGGCAGCCCUGAGUCACCAUGUCCAGCCAGAAGUUGAUCUGGGUGUCAACGAAGCUCUGCAGCUUGGCGCCCUCCUCGUUGGAGAAGAAGGUGGCGCACACCAUCACCAGGUUGCCGGCGCAGCUGGUGGACCCAGGGGUCACGGUCACGCCGAGGUCGGAGGCCUGGGUGGCCACGUCGUCCUGAAUGGUGGCGAUGUAGCCCUGGCACUCGUCGUUGCUGAUGGAGUAGGGGAACAGAACGCGGCUGGCGUCGCUAACGGUCAGCGAGAUGUAGACGCAAACCUGGCAAGGAGGAGGGGGGCUGGGGGGAGGAGGGCUCGGGAUGCCGGGCGUGGAGAUAGGGCAGCAGUCGUUCUGGCUGUCGAACAGCGCAGCCGAGCACACACCCUUGGGCAGGCCAGGGGGAGGAAUGCACAGCUCCUCAAGGGUGGUGCAGCCCUUGCCGUUCUUGUUCAUCGACAGGGUGAUGCAAAUCUCAGCACCGUCGCUGGCCAGGCCCAGGCCCAGCUGGGUCAGGACCAGGGUGGUCGAGCCAACGGGGCCAUCGGUGGGCUCGUGGAACGAGACACCGACCUUGGUGGGCACGCCGUUGAUGGUGGCCUUCACCACCUCGCCGAAGACGUCGCACGCCUCGUAGACGUUGAACUGUGUACAUCAAAAUGAGGAACAAACUCAGAGAACUUCUUGAAAAAAGAACUCACACUGUGGGUUGCUGGCUGCUGCGACUUUGAAACCGCGACCCGAUGCGCCGACAACCCACCUCGAUCUUCUUGAGGUCUGCCUUGGAGCAGCAGUAAUCGGUGCAGCCAGCCGGCACCUUGGCGCUCAGCUUGAAGCAGUACUGGUUGUUGCCCUUGGCAACGACAACAUCACCCAGCUUGUAGGCCGAGGGAGACUUCUUGCACUGGCAGUAAGGGAACGAGGUGUACAAGCCCGACUGAGCACCCUGGGCGGCCCUGCAGAUUCAGAACGAAGGGCACACGCGGCACGGAGUUACUGCCAGCGGAGCAAGCGGAGUCUCGGCGACGGGAUAGCCUGCUUGCAACUUGCUGUCAAAUCCGGUGGUGGCGCUACGAUCACUGUUACGCUAUGCUGAAAUCAUGAAAAUAGCCCGAGCAUGCUGUAAGAGCGCCGGUUGCAAGAAGGCCGACCGCAUUCAAGCUGCGCAGCGGACCCACACGACCACUAUUUACGCCGUGAGCGUAAAUGAUUAUCUUUGACUAGAGUCAGCGAUGCUCGUCUAUUCUACAACUCAGGAGCUUCCCGAAGCGACAAAUCUGUGAAACGCGCGGUCUUGCUACUCACGCAAUUGCGGCCGCGAAAAGAACGGAGACUAGAAUGCUGCACCUCAUUGUCACAGAGGUGGUUCAGCUAUAAAGAAAUUGUGAGGCACGCGGGCUUAUCAUGGGGGGCCCGGCUGGUCGAACGAGUCGUACGCCCGCCAUUAACCGCGGGCGCGUUAGUUUGGCGUGCGAUGCAAUCAUUCAUGCAACCGCGCCACUUCGACAGUGCCGGAAACAACUUUUAUUUUUGUGGGUAUGCAUCCGGCUAUUCGGUAGGACAGCAGCUGCGUUACGCUCAAACUCGGGCAAACAAUUGGGCUAGCGGCGUGAGCUUGCACCUCACAACUAUCAUCACACAAGUUAUUUAGAUACUGGCCUACCUUGGGCCAUCUCCAAAACUGCCUGUCCAGCCCGGGAGCGGCGGAGCUGUUUCGCCCGCGGUUUGGAGUGGCUUUACUCGUGCCGACGCAAGUCCUUGAUUUUUGCAUUAUAAAAAAAUUAUAGAGUACAGCUAUAGCAACCAACUUGGCAAUGGAGCUGCUGGCAUGGUCCAAACGCGGGAAGCUGGCGCCUUCUAGGCUCUUUGGAGCCCUGUCGGCUUCACAAGUGGCUGAUGCUCAAGUUGUGCAUCGCUUUGGCCGGACAAAUGUCUCCUAGUAACCCGGUUCACAAGCGAAGCGUGAAACGAAAGCAAAGGAUGCUGCGCGCCGGAAGCGAAACGUUCGAUGCACCUAAUUGGGCGCCAAGCGCGGAACCUUGCAGUCUCAGAUGCGUGUGUGCAUGGAAGGAGAAGGCUGGCGGAGGCGAGAGGAGCGGGGGCAGGGAUUGGCUUUCGUGGGGGGGGCGGGGCAAGUGGCGCGGGCGGGGCUGGGGGGGCGAAGAACGGUGAAGACCGGUGCGAUGGCACAGGGUAAGGGGCAGGUUGGCGUAGUCCCGAGUCCCGAGAAACAACUUACGCCCAACCCAGGCGCCAAUGAAACAGGUGAAGAGCUUGAGGACCCCCCUCCCGCUGUCCGGGCCUUACACACAAGCAGGCCAAGUGCGGGGGGAGCCGUAGCGCACACCAUAUACCGUACUGUCACUGUGCUCGAUUUCGUCGCUAGUGACGCCCCUGCUGGCUAGGGUAGCAAGGGUAAUGGGGGUGAACGAGCCGGUUGCUUAGGCUGUGCCAGCUUUCCCCGGGUUUCAUUGGGGUCACACACUUCACUGAUGCACAACUUUCAGAGCCAGGGGGCUGCAUCCUCCGGCAAGCAGACGCCAGGAGGGUGUCCCUGGCCGCAUGCGCUGGGUCCUGGAGUCUACGGUACGCGUUGCCGCACGCGUCGGUUGGCCAUCCAUUCCCCAUCCUUAGACACAAUGACUGUGUCAUGUGUGCACGUUGCGCUUUAGGCUCGGCCAGCGGCACCCUGGGUUGGGUGUGUGAUGGGUUGGGUCUCGGUUUGAGAGGUGUGACCCUUGCAGAAAGCAGGACUCUCCACACUCCCCUCCCGUGCUGUGCAUGUAUGUUCCUGCAUGCACGUGUGUGUAUGAAGUGAAUGGCUCAGCCAACGGCUGUGUGUGCAUGUGGCCCGCGUAAAAUGCAAUUUACCAGUGAUGGGCACUUCUAUCAGGGAGGGGUAGGAAACAAAGUGCCAGACCCCAUGCCCCGAAAUCCCCCGGGACCCCCCUUGAGGGGACGACCGACCCCCCGACGGACAAAACCUUGUUGUUCAGCGGUUAAAACCCCUCCAUUUAAUACCAAAGUAGUGUCAAUCGACUCCUCUUGACGAGCACUAUCACUCCGUGCCAUCAGCGGUCCUGUUCUGAGACUUCGGUCACGGGCGGGAUCCUAUCCAUGGAAAUCCCCUCGACCCAGACCACCCCGCGCUCAACUCUUUGCCGCGUGACGAAUGGACAAUGUGCAUCGGCAGCCUUGUUAGACGUGAACUCAUGCGCAUCAGCGCUUCAGAGCCCAGCUGUGUCAGUGCGCAUAUGUUGAAUGUGGAGACAUGUCCCGACAUGUCCACGUCCGGACGCGCAACUUAGCCCUCCCACGCUUUGUUUGUGCUUAUUACGUCAUAACGUACACAUAUGAGCCUCGCACUGCUGCGUUUGGCCCCUAGUUCUGCUUGUGGGGCGCUUCCCGAAAUCCGCCAGGAUGGGCUCCCGAAACCCGACGGACCCCCAGGGACGAGGACCGACCCCCAACUUUGGCGGCCCAGAACUUCCUCACCAGACCCCCCUUUAAAAAACUAAAAGUACGUGCAUAAUGCUCUCCUGAAGCUCUCUAAUAUUGAGCAUGGGGUAAGAACCUGAGCUUUCUAACCCCCCCCUGCCAUGGCGGCCACAAUGCCAAGAUGCUACCUGGCGGCGCCACGCACAGCAGAGCCCUGUGCUCCGCAAGGAUGCACACGUGCACACACGCACACACAUGUGCGAACACACGUGCACCUGCCCUCCAUGCCACUCGCCCCGCCCCUUCCCCCUUCCCUCACCUCAGUUAUGGCUGACUGGAUGCGGUUGAUCUCAAACAGCCGGCUGCGCCCCUCCUGGGAGCCGCCGCCGCCGCCGCCAGACAGGAGGUCUGGAGUGCGUGUGAGGAAGGGGAGGGGGGGGAUGUGCCCGAGCCCGAGGUCUCAAGCGUCAAGGAAUUGUUUCCAAACCAGGGGGAGGAAGCGGUAGGGGGGCGCGAAGUGUGAUGUUUGUCGGGGUAAGGUGUGAGGCAUUGGGCAUGGAGCGUAAGGCGGGCAUCAAGGCGGGUAGGGUGUCGGCCUGUGCGCUGUCACCCAAGCCACGGGCGCACCGUUAGCACGCACGCACGCGCACACGCUCACACUACGCACCUGCGGCCGCCUCCUGCCCCUUGCUGGUGGCGCCGCUCCCGCCGCCGCCCCCACCUGCACCCCCAGCAGCCGCCCCGCCCGGCACCGGAGCGCUCACCACCACCUGCGCCUCCGCCGCACCCUCCACCGCUGACUCUGCUCCUGCUCCCCCUCCUGCUGCGGAUGCUUCCGCUGGUAGCUGCACCACUGGCGUGUGCCGUGGAUGCGGUGGGUGCGGCGCCGCCAAGCCAGUCACCGCCGCCACCACCGGCGCCAGCGCCGCCGCCACGGCAGCCGCCGGCUCCCCUCCCGAAAUCCGCCAGACACCCCCUUAAAAAGUUAAAAGUACGUGCAUAAUGCUCUCCUAAAGCUCUGUAAUUUUGAGCAUGGGGUAAGAAACUGAGCUUUCUACCCCCCCCCUGCUUCUAUCAACCGGUUGUGCUUUCGGGGUUACAUGGAAGAGAUUAGGCUGGUGGGGCACAGUGGUGCACGGUGACAGAGACAGCCUUUCUUCCCUGUCUGGGUCAGGGGACAGGUUGUGCCGCCCUCGAGUCCGAAUCAAAUCGUUCUUUGCAGCAUCCCUCUUCAGGAUGCUGAGUGGAGUUGGUGUCGGUAGUAAAGGCCAAGCCCAACGCCCAUUGCGGCAGGGCCCAGGUGUGGGCGGAACGCCCGCCAAGAUGAGACACGAUGAGAGGCACGGCCGAUCGCGCCGAGUUAAGCCAUCACCACGCCCAGUGUUCCGGCCGGUUGUAACAGAUCAACUGUUACGAUCCCUGUUCGAGACAGGGCUGGGCCCUAACUUAUGCCUCUUACGAGUCUUCUAGUGAAUACGCGGUCACCCAAGUCUCAUCCGUUGGACAUCUCCAACCCCUUGCCAGGCUCUACAGUGAGUUAUGUCCGGGGUGGGCUAGGUACUGCUACCCCAGGGGAGAGCCUUCCCUGGCAGAGCCCAGGCCCUGCCGUAUUCCUUACCGGGUCGCACACCCACCGAAGUACCGAACCACGCGUCACGGUCUGGGAAUCAGCUGCACCCUACGGGACUUCACCAACCUGCCUUAACACUGUCCCAUACCACGCGUUACGUUUCUCCACGAUCCGCGGAACGGCGGAAACACGUAUUGACAUGUGUACACCCGCAAGGAGACCGCGGGUGGGUGAGAAUACUGCGCCUGCGCCUGAGAGCCCCGGGGCAAGCUGUCUCAUCCCCGAACGUAGAACUCAUAGAGUGCAGUCUGUGCAAAAGGGAAAGCGAGAUGCAAAGGACGAAGCAGGAGUCGUGUGACGCGUUAGCGUGGAUAAACGCCUGGCGGAUGAGAUCGGACAUGGCAACUUGGAAAUGGGCAGGUUGGUGUUAGUCCUGUGGACCUGAUAUACCCGAGCCGGUUGAGGGCCUCAUGUGCAAAACCGCCAGCGCCGGUCUGCUGGCCUUAUCUGGGUACACGCAGUACCGGUGCGGUAGCUGACGAUGCCAGCGUUAUUGACGAGUGUUGCGGAACUAAUGCGUACGUAGACCAGAGCGGAAGGCGGAGUGGGCUUGCAGGCGGCACGAGAGUAGGCAGUCAGUAGCGCAAGUUGCGAAUUCACAUGUUACCUCGUAACCGACGGUAAACGCUGCGGACGGUCGCGCCCAUGGCUGGCUGACGGAAGGUGGCUGCUGUAUUGGGAUGGCUGGGCUGGACGACGCCGGCCGGGCUGGCGUGCACGAUGUGCACAAACCGUUCCGCCUGCAGAUUGCAGAAAGCCCUGACGCCAGCUGCGCAUCCUGACGGAUGACACGUUGGGGGCUGUCACUCAGCUGCUGACUCGGGACCACCGUGCUGUCCCCUGCCGCAGUUACCGCCGCAGCCUGGCUGGCAUUCAACUUAUGUUGAAAAUUAUAUCAAUAUGACGCGUUCGUACUGUGCCCCCAAACCGGUUUACAGGGGCAACAGGCAAUAGCCCUGCGCACAAACUCCUGCUUCUCACCAGAGCUUUCGCCGUUAUGCACGGCCACGGGAACAAUGGUCCCGGCCAACCACAUCUAUGAACCGUGUCCGUUAGCCUCUCCUGAGGCUUGUAACCGGAACGCGGCUCCGCUGAUUGCAGUCCCAGGAUGACGCUAACCUAAGCAAACAGUCAAUGCGCAUGAUCAUUUACACACACGAGUGCUCUUAUGUACUGCCCAUAUUAAACACAGUCGAGUUGUGGAUCAGUUGCACGAUUCACCGCGCCAGCCCUCGCGGCGGUGCUUCACGCAAUCCGCAUUCAGCUGGUGGCGAGUCGCCAAGCCGCCCCCAACAAAACCCGCACCGCACCAAGUGCCAUGCCGUUUAGACACACGCGCACAACACUAAUCCUGCGAGGCAGUGAUCUCAUCUGUCACUUUGUCAACUACCCAAUCAAGCCAUUUUUCCGAACCCAAUUCAAAACACGCGCCCACGGGCGAAGCUGUGCGCCGUGGCUGUAGCGGCUGCUGCCUCUGCUGCCAACGCCUCACAAAAUCCACCCGUGGCCGUCUGCCACAUAAGCUCCAGCGGUCACCAGCUAUGCUCCGUGCCAGCUCGCGAUAUUGCCAGGCCGUGUGGCCGCAGCAGCUGUUUGCACAGCUGCCGCGAAGCAAGUCCGCUGCCACAAGAACUCAAACAGGGUGGGUCAGCCGCGCGGCUUCCAAGCGGCUUCCACCUUGUGUGUAUGGACACGCGACGCCUCGGCUGCUGCGGGCUGUGCCAUUUACGGCAGGCUCGCCUGGUACAGCGGGCAGCUGCGGGCAAGACACGGGAGGGGUGAGGAAUGGCGGUCAGAUACGUGACAACGUCGAGGCAGAUGUCCGCGGGGAAGUCCGUGGGCGAAGCCUAUUGAUUUAGAUCCCGCAAGACAACCCACAUUGGCAAGUACGUUGUUGCGAGCGUGUCAAUGCAAACCCAACUCACCAGUUCUUGCUGUCGUCGAACAAGUUGCCGUAGCACGAGCCGCCGGGCGCGGGCAGGCAGAAGUCCGACAGGGGGGUGUCGUUCUUCAGCUCCAGGCAGAUAGUACCGCCAUUCGCCUGGUCCUUGCUCCAGUUCAGGGGGGUAGCCUUGACGGUCUGCUCGUCCACAGCGCCCCAGGUGGCGGACAGCCACUUGCCGGUGCCGGUCUUGGGCUGCACGUACACGCCGGUGAUGGCGCGGCGCUUCUUGUCGUCGGCGUAGAACUCGGCCUUGAGCAGGCUGGUGCUCCGGCCGCAGGGGCUGGUGGCGCUGUUGGGGGUCACAAGGGUGAUGCUGAAGCAGUAAGAGGUGGUGUCCUUGGUGCGGCCGGCCAUAGUGGAAAUGACGGGCGUGAAGGCGAAGGGGGUGGCGCCGGGCGUGGUGACGCAAGCGCACUUGGGGAAGUCCACAGGCUCGGGGGCGCAGGCCUGGGACUGGAAGCCGCUCAGGCAAGACGCAUCCGGGGCCUGUGCGGAGCCGCCGAUGCCGCCGACGGCGGCGUAAGCGCUGUAGCCAGUCAGGAAGGCGGGGCAGCCCUGGACGCCGGUGAUCAGCUGCAGCCAGAAGGGCAGGCGCUCAUCGAUGAAGGGCUGCAGCUCGGCGCCCUGCUCCGAUGAGAAGAAGGUGGCGCACAGCUUGAUCACGUCGCCAGAGCAAACAGCCGGGGCGAAGUUGAUCGCGACGCCCAGGUUCUCGGCCUCGGUCUGGAGCUCGUCGCCGAUCAUAGCAGCGUAGUCGUCGCAGUCCUGCUGGGAGAACUCGUAAGGGAAGACAACGUUGCCGGUCUCAAGGAUGGAGAGGUACACGCAAGCCGUGCAGGGAGGAGGAGGAGACGGAGGAGGCGGGCUGGGGGGAGGAGGGCUCGGGAUGCCGGGCGUGGAGAUAGGGCAGCAGUCGUUCUGGCUGUCGAACAGCGCAGCCGAGCACACACCCUUGGGCAGGCCAGGGGGAGGAAUGCACAGCUCCUCAAGGGAGGUGCAGCCCUUGCCGUUCUUGUUCAGCGACAGGGUGAUGCAAAUCUCAGCACCGUCGCUGGCCAGGCCCAGGCCCAGCUGGGUCAGCACCAGAGUGGUGGAGCCGACGGGGCCAUCGAUGGGCUCGUGGAACGAGACACCAACCUUGGUGGGCACGCCGUUGAUGGUGGCCUUCACCACCUCGCCGAAGACGUCGCACGCCUCGUAGACGUUGAACUGUGGAGAAAGAAAACCAGAAGGGUGAGAAUGGUUUGGACAAGCACGCUAGCAGACGCCAGCAACUCUGCUAGCGACAAGCCGCGAGCGUCGGUUACUGUGAUGCUCUUCGACAUUCCCGCUCGACUUUCUGGCAUAGUCGCAACCACGUGCUUACCUCGAUCUUCUUCAGGUCCGCCUUGGUGCAGCAGUAGUCAGUGCAGCCAGCCGGCACCUUGGCGCUCAGCUUGAAGCAGUACUGGUUGUUGCCCUUGGCAACGACGACAUCACCCAGCUUGUAGGCCGAGGGAGACUUCUUGCACUGGCAGUAGGGGAACGAGGUGUACAAGCCCGACUGAGCACCCUGGGCGGCCCUGCAUUCCGAAGGCACAAGGGCAAAAGAUGUGUUGGUUCGCAUGUGUGCAUCGGCGUGCAGUCUUGAACCCAUGUGUGCAUGACGUCCUAGAGAAGAUGACACUGCCAUGUACUGAUCGAUUGCGCUCCAGGCUCCAUCAAAGGCCCGCCGGCCUAAGCUGGGGAAUGCUGGCGUGCUCCAGUGGCUGUCGAGCGUCCAGGAAAGGCUGAGCUGCCACCGUGAGCUGGGGAUGCUUUCACGUUAUGACCAACACAUCUGUCUGUGACAUACAUCAAGCUAGGGGCUGGAUCGCCUACGCCGCGACAAAAAUGGCGCGACUCCGAGAGAGCCAUCACAGACACUACUCACGCGAAUGCGGCAGCCACGAGAACGGCAACCAGCGAAUAGCUGGACCUCAUUGUUACAGAGGUCGUUCAGCUAAUUAUGGUGACCAUUUGCGCGCCGAGGGCUAUAAAUUCUGCUGGCCGAUUCCGUACGACGGCCCGCCCGCCGUCUGCCUCGACUUCGACUCGCCUCCUGGCACGCUCGACUGGCUUGCUGGCAUUGGUAACAGCCGAAUGCCGAUGCGAUUUAAUCACCAAGCCAAAAUCCACACGCAAUGUCAGCGGGCGGCGAGCGCCCACCAGGUUUUCGCGAUGAACAUGUUUUCGCGAGGCCAGUUUUACUAUAAUAUAAAACAAACUACAAGGUGUGAGCCAUCAAUAGCUUGAUCAAGGAAACACAGGAGUUGGUCGGCCGGAUUGCGGCCUGCCAUAAAUGGAAGGCAAUUUUAGGGUUGAGCCUUGUAACAAAACUGUUAGCAACAAACAGUUUCUACGCAUCUUAAGGGCCCUCUACAGGGCCCUUAAGAAUCGCGACAGCUUAUUCCUCUCAACGGUCGCUCGCUGCCUCUAGGGAUUCUGAGCCGGUCUCCUUUCUUAAAAGCAUUUGUAUCUAUACUGACUGUGGGUCUUCUAUAGACGACGGCCUGCUGUCCUGUACGCCAUUCAUAUGUUCUGGGUCUCUGCGGCCGGGAAGGGCCCGGGCAUACUCUCCUUAAUGGUCAAAGAUAAUGGGUAGACAACCGUCACCGUAAAACUCCAGCUUCGGGGCUGACUUCCGGCAAGGUAGUUAUUGGCGCGUCGAACAUCGUGCGGUCGACCUGACCGCGCUCGCUCGCCAGCCUGAAAAAGGACUACGUUUGUGGUGCUUAAUACAGCUUUCAUACGACAUGCUGUGCUGCCUCCAUCGCGUACUGCCAGCUGACAGUCUGAAGGGCAAACGACCAUGUUGUGGUUUUGGUGGCCGCGUGGCGCCCGUUCGCCUGCGCGCCCGCCCACCGCGCCCCCGGCCAAGCUUGAGUUUCUGUGGCAUCCUUGAACUGCAUGCCCCAACAGCUCACCUAAGUAGCUUCGGUUAGUCUGCAGGUGCCAAGACGCCUUCGCGGCACUUGGCGCAGCCGGGGCUGGCCGUGCCGUUGAACACCAGGGCCAGGGCUCCCCCUCCAGCUUCCCUGCGCCAGGGCUUUGGGGGCGCAUUUAAGUGGGCGGGUCCGCAAGUGGGUGGGUCUGCUGUGAAGCCCUUCAUGGGCUGAGUCCGCUUGUUGCCUUGCUCAACAAGGGCUGCCAGGUUUGGAGUGGCCGAGGGUAUGGGCCUUUGCAUGUAGUGUCACAAGGGUGUGACUACAGCACCCGAUGUGAAGAGUCUGACGCGGGAUUGGCCCGUCAGGCACGCCACGCACCGGCAGGCACGUGCGGGAGCUGGAGCUUCACAUGUUCAUUGUGGCAAUAUGCAGCUAGUUAUUUACAUAUUCUGCAAGGGGCACGUUCCGACUCCCAUGCUCCCAUAUGCAGUUGAGAAAUGCGUCUAACCUGACAGGCUCAGGUCUCAGCAUGACUGCGCGCAUGCUUUUACUGAAGUCCAAGCCACUGCUCCACACCACACGCAACGCCUCACGUUGAUGCCCUGUGCCGCGACAAAACUGAAGAGCUGCGCGCGCCAUCUAUCUCCCGCCGGGUUCACCCAUGCCAUCGGUGAGUGAUUAUCGCACUGCAGUGUAACAAGCGAUCCGCCAAAACCCCACUCCAUGAGUCAAGUUGGGCCCUGAUAGCAUGUGAUGGCUCGGCGUCUUCGGGUGCUGGGACUGUCCCCUCUGUAACAUCCGCAUUCAUGAGUCUGAUUCCGCUCAUUCAAUGCGAAUCUGACACAGUCCACACGCCAACAAAACCUUCUUCAUCAGAACUGCCCCCUAAAGCCUCAUGGUGCAAGAUGUGUGGUCCCCCCCGCAUGGGAAAAGUGGGCUGAGCCCACGCGACGUCUCUAGUCUGAGGCCGCAAGCGUCUACCUCACCUCCCUGACAUAGCCGGGGUCGGUUCGUACAGGCACGGCCCGCCAUGUGUCCAGCCACGUCCCGCUGCCAAGCAACAGCACAGCCAGCAAUCAACCAAACAGCAGGAAACCCUCUAACAUUCCUCACUGCCCCGGCCUACCACAUACUGCCCAGCCAUCCCAAUACAGCCGCCACCUUCUGUCAGCCAGCCAUGGGCGCGACCGUCCACAGCGUUUACCGUCGGUUACGAGGUAACAUGUGAAUUCGCAACUUGCGCUACUGACUGCCUACUCUCGUGCCGCCUGCAAGCCCACUCCGCCUUCCGCUCUGGUCCACGUACGCAUUAGUUCCGCAACACACGUCAAAUACUGUGCGGUGCUAUGCUCGCCAGCAAAGACCCUAACCAGACACCGGCCGACCUCAACCUGCGCGCCGGCGCCGGUGCCGCUUGUUGGGCGCCUCAAGGUGAAAACAACAACCCAAAGCGCAACUUACCGCGUAUACGCAUAGGAUGAAUAAGACCCGUAAGUUCAGAUCUCCACCUCAAACCUCACCAGCCCAGAGUUUGCUUGGCAUGCAUGAAGCAUUUCGACGCCCUUCCGACCGCUCCAGUACCCACAAAUCAAGUUGAAUGGGGUUUCUCCAGAGCAGCUGAGGCUGGCUAUGGGCAUGGGUUGACCAGCAGCCAGGUACAGAUAGAGAUCUUUUGCCUCAGCAGUUUGUACGACCAGACUGCAUGACGCCUGAUGACAAAGUCGUAUGCACGAAACCAAACUAACUGCGAACUGCGAUCCAAGUUGUAGGUAUCCGGAGUACCGUACCUGACCCGGAUACCACACUGUUCAUAUCGCGCAGGGGCCGAAGGGGUUGCGGAGCCAACCGCCACCGGUGCCAUGUGUGAUCCAGUCAUAACGCAUUUUAGUAGACUUGAAUAAAGCUUGUUGGCCUGUUUACCAUUAAUAUGGCAUGGUUCGGCCUUACGGAAAAUGCACAGCAAUGCUGAACACGCUGGGGUGGCAACCGUGGCGCAUGUACUGCGCAACAGCCCUAGCCUGCCCCCAGUAGCACUCGCAUGCCUGCGCCCGAACUCUUGCAUCGCACACCACACUCAACCGUGUAUUGUUGCAGCAACUCAAGUCCUCGUCACGCCCCACUUGGCCCUCAUUCGGGUCAGCAGUGAUGCAUACAAGUACAUGGUAGCGCUGUCGCUGCAACCUCCAGCGCUCGCAGCUUCCGGCGGCGGCACACGCUCCCGGCGGCGGUGGGAGUACGAAGGAGGGCACGGGCCCACGCCAGCCUUGCCGCCGGCAUGACUGGCCACUCCGCCAUGUCUGUCUGCGGCGCUACCCGCAGCUGCCCCUCAACCCUUACACAGGCGCCGUCGCUGCCACCGGCUCCGCAGCAAUAGCUCAAGGGGCAGACGCCGCUGCCGCCGCUGCCGCCGUGUCACCAGCCUCAGCGCCGCUGGCGGCGGCAGCCGCCCUCCCUGCCGGCGAUGCAUCUGUAGCACCCGCGCCACCGCCGCCGUAGCUACCGCCCGUGGCGGCGGCGGAGCCGGCAGAAGCGGUUGACGCCGGAUACAGCAACGGCAGCGUCACGCUCUCCGACGGUGCCAACACGGGCAGGACGCCGCCACCGCCGCCGCCGCCGCCGCCGGUGCCCACGAGCGAGAGGUGUGACGACGAUGCAAUCCCCAGACCCAGUGACGGCAUGAGGCCGGCGAAGCUGGGGGCCUGCGAUGAGAAGGACAGCAGCCCACCCACGCCCAGGCCCGUGCCGGCGCCGCUGACCUCGCCGCCCGCCGCCGCGGCGGCAGCGGCGGCGGCCGCAACCGCGGUGGCGGCGGCCGCCGAGACGCUGGUCGCCGUCGCUGCAACCGACACGCCCAUGGCCUCAGCUGCGCUGGCGAACGCUGGCAGGGCCCGCGGCCUUGCUGCGAAGGCGGAGGUGCUGCCGACGCCUGCGGCGCCUGUAGCGCCGGUAGCUGCUGCGGCUGCAUCGCCACCGUUGCCUCCGGUGCUGGCGUCAGAGGCAGGCGGCGCAGCCGGCGGCGGCGCGUGUGACGGGGCUGCAGGCGUUGGCGAAGCGGGAGCACCAGAAGGCGCGGCGGCCGCGGCGCGGCCGAGGGCGCGCAAAGGCGUUGGUGUGCCGCCGCCGAUGGCAGCGUACGGCAGUUGGUUGCUGCCUGUGCGGAUGGGCGGUGCUGGCGGCGACGGCGGAGCUCCCAUUGCCGCCGCGAGUCCUAGGUCCGGUGCGCUGUUGAGCGCCGCCGCCGCCGCCGGCGGCAGCAGCCCGUUAUGUGUGACCCCUGCCGCUGCCCCCGCUACCGCCGCCGAGCCCGCUUCCGACACCGUGUUCAGUCCUGCAGCCGCCGCCGCCGCCACCGCCUCUGCCGCCGCCUCUGCUGCCGCCCCCAUCUGUCUGAGCGCGCGGGGUGAUAGCGGUGAGCCCAGCAAUGACGGCGCUGGCGCCGCCGCUGCCGCUACCGUCGAUGCCUCAGCAGAUGCCAGCAUCACGCGCGAGCUGCUACUGCUUCCAGCACCGCCGCCGCCGUCGCCACCAACACUGCUGGCUGCUGCAACGUUCCUGCUACUGCCACUGCCCCCCGGAAACAAGCCGUGCGGCAGCGUCCCCGGCGGCACGGGGCUUCCCGGCGGCCCCGAGCCCGAGGCGACUGCCGCCGCGCCCUUGGCACUGCUGGCGCCGCUGCCGCCGCCGCCAGGGCUGACGCCGCCGCCGCCGCCGCCGCGCGGGCGGCUGGUAAUUCGUUUCAGCACUGGACCGCCGCCGCCAAGCAGCCCGCCCAACGCCCCCCCCAGUAGUACUGGCGGCGCCAUGCCAUCCUCAUCAUCCGAAUCGUCCAGGACCACAGCCGCCGGCGGCACCGCCAGUGACAGCGGCGGCGGCGGCUCCGCGCCGCCGCCACUGACCGCUCGCGCCAUGGCUAGACGCGACGCGCUGCUGCUGCCGCCUGGCUCGUGAACUGCGUCAGCAGGUCCCUCUUGUAACCAAUGCAAUCUGCCGCCGCCGCCGGCGCUCGUGCCAAUGCCGCCGGAACGCGCGGCGGCGGCGGUACUACGGCCGCUGCCGCUGCCGACGCUGCCUCGCGCGACGCGAACCGCUGCGUCCGUUGCCGCGCCUGCCUCCGCCGACUGCGCCACCCCCGCGGCGGCCGCCAGGCCGCCGCCGCCGCCGCCGCCCUCCGGCUGCGCCGGCGCAGCCGCCGGCUGCCGCGCCGCGGCGGCGGCGGCCUGCGCCAGCAGCGCCUGCUGCUGCUGCUGCUGCUGCUGCUUCCGGGCCUUCUUUGCCGCCAACAGGUCAUUCAGCAGCCGCGUCAGCACGUCCAGAGCGUCCAGGAAGCGCGGCCGGGCAGCGGGUGAGGCGGACAGGCAGGCGGUGGCGAGGUCGCGGUAGGCGGGCGGGCAGGCGGAGGGCUCGGCGGGCCAGGUGUAGAACUCGGCGGGCAGGUUGGGGAUGCGGCGGCGCAGCGGCAGGCGGCGGGCCACUGUGGAGCCGUGGAGCAGCUCCCACAGGAUCACGCCGAAAGAGUAGCUGCCGGGGGGAAAGGGGGGAGGAGCGGGAGGGAGGCUGGGGUUAGCCAUUCAUCCAAUCCCAACGGGGCACCAGUCCAAUGAAUCGCAGCCCGCUGUCGGCUUGGGCGUACAGCGUGUACUCCGCCCCUUCCCCCUGCCCCUUCCCCUGGCCGCUCUGUGCCCCAUCCCGUCCCCCUGCCGCUCCCUGCCCCCUGCCCCUUCCCCCUGCCCCUCCCCCUGCCGCUCCCUGCCUCCCGAGCACGCCCCCCUCCCCCUCCAGCCCCACCCACAGGUCUGAGGCGGUGGUGGCUCGGCCGUCCUCCACCAGCUCCGCGGCGAUGUAGAAGGGCGUGCCGCGGCUGCGGGGUGAGGCAGCGGUGCGGGGGGAGGGGGCUACAUUCAUGACUAAUUCAACAUGACAAGGGGUGUAAUUGGGUGUGCGGGUGAAGGCCGGAGUCCCCAACUGACACGUGUGAAGUAUGGGGGGGCGGGGUUGGGUGUGCGGGCGGCAUGUGGGGCCGGGCUCACGGGCUGGUGUGAGUGGCGUGUUGCAGGACUGGCGCGAGCGGCGGGAUCAGCAGCAGCAAAGGCAGGAAGGCGGACACGUCACACGCGCGCGCUGACCUCACUCGGGCCCCCAUGACCUCCGCCCCGCAACACCGCAAUCACUCCGUCUCGCAUGUUCGGCUACCCUUCCUCCGGCUGCCUCCUCCGUCUUGCGUGCACGGCUACCCCCGCCCACACCCCGCCCCCCACUCUCACCAACCUGUUCCUACUGCCCCAACCUCGCAGCCCCCCUCCCAUCACCCCCAUGGCCCCCGCCCCCCCCCCCAUCUCACCACUCCGGUCUCCACAUGAACGUCCCCCCUACUUGGUAACGACUUCGUCUGCAGCCUUCCGUGCCGCUCCUGUACCGCUUCUCCAAACAUCCUUGCAAUCCCCCCCCCGCCCUCACCGGAUGUUGCUGAUGUGGCUCUCUCCCGCCUUGAGUUUCAGCGCCAGUCCAAAGUCCGCAAUCUUGGCUGUGAAGCCGUACCCACUGGCGGCGUUGGAGCGAAGCAGGAUGUUGGCGGGCUUCUACGGAGGGCGGGAGGGGGCGGCGGAGGGGAGCUGUUGAUGUAAGGAACGUGAUGAUAAGAUAAUUAAUAGGUCACAAGUCAUGGUCACAAGUUUCAAAGUGCCCACGUCUAGUGGGAACAGGGGAUGGGGGAGCCGUUCAUGUGAAGGACGGAGUGGUUAGGUCACAAGUGUGAAGUGCCGACGUCCAGAGGGAACAAGGGGGGAAGGGAGGGAGGGUUGGAUGAUGGGAGUUGGUGGGAUGCUGUGGAGGGUGGGGUGAAAGCGAAGCAGGAGGAGGCAGCAGGGGUAGUGGGCGGAGCGGGACGCAGCUGCGUGGCGCGGUACGGAGCGGGAAUGGCACGGGCUGGGGGACAGAGAGGGAAGGAGGCGGAGGCGGGGGCGCGGAAGGGCGGGUUCCCAAGGGGCUGGCUGGGUGUUGGUUUCGUUUGGGGUUUACCUCAUCACACACACACAUGCACUCGCGCGCGCUCCGCACCAGGUCUCCGUGUAUGAUGCUGCGGGCGUGUAUGUAGCUCAUGCCGCUGGCCACCUCGAUGCCGAUGCGCAGCGCCGUCUCCAGGUCCGCCAGCCCGCUACUGCCGCCGCCGCCGCCGCCGCCGUCAGUGUGGGUCGCUGCGAAGCGGCCGCCGUCCAGCGCGUCCUUAAGCGUGCCGCCGUCGCAGUACUCCUGAGGGCGGGCGGAGGGGAGCGGACCGGUGGGUUACAUUCAUAAUUAGGUAAGGAAAUGGUAUAAGNNNNNNNNNNNNNNNNNNNNNNNNNNNNNNNNNNNNNNNNNNNNNNNNNNNNNNNNNNNNNNNNNNNNNNNNNNNNNNNNNNNNNNNNNNNNNNNNNNNNUGGAAAGUACAACACCCCUCCCCCCCUUACAACAUUUCUCCCCCCCUACAACACCCCUCCCCCCUUACAACACCCCUCCCCCCCGCACCUGCUCCUUGAAAGAGUUGCCUCCGCCUCCGCCGCCACCUCCGCCCCUCUCGCCUCCCUCGCCUCCCUCCCCGGCGCCGCCGCCGCCGCUGCCGCCCACAAAGGCCUGGAACAGCAGCGUCUUCACCGCCACCUCCAGCCCGCGCCACUCGCCUGCGAGACACACACACGCAUGCACACAUGGACAUGGUCACGUUCGUGCACAGUGCCAACCCUUCCCAACACACUCAGUCACAACACACGCCACGCAGGAGCCCAAGCCGCUUUGGAAGCAGCCCUCUACCCCCGCAACAGGUUGCUGUCUGUCCCUGCCCCCCUUGCUGCCCCCACCCCCCCAUCGGCCCUCGGCCCGGACGUCAGCCCUGCAAACCAUCACAUCCCAUCCUUCAGCCCCCCCUCCCUCCUUUCCCUACCCAUCCAUCCCCAUCGCUUCCUCUCCCCUGGCUGGUAUCUCGUCCUCGCUCCUUUGCAUUGCGUUCGGUUCAGUUUGAGCUGGUAUCUACAACCCCCCCUCUCCAGCCCCUCUCCAGCCCCCCACCCACCCUUGUAGACCACCCCGUGCGCGCCCGCUCCCAGCUGGCACGUGAUGCUGAUCUGCUGCUGCUGCGCCCCCAGCUCCGACUGAAACGCCGCAAGCGCCGCAUACAGCUCCGUGCGUGGAUUGCUGCUCGCAGCCGCAUCGCUGCCGCCGCCGCCGCCGCCGCCGCCAGUGCCGCCGGUGCCGCCAGUGCCAGUGCCCGCGCUGCGGCCGCUCAGGCUGCUGCCGGCGACGCUGCCGGGCUUUCCGGCGCCGCCGCUGCCGCCGCUGGCAACGCUGGUUCCAGAGACGCGCGGCUUGCGGCCAGUGGCGGCGGCGCCGCCGCCGCCACCGCCCUGUGGCGGGCGCUGCGCGCCGCCCGGUCCGGCGCCGCCGCUGAUGCCGCCGCUGCCACUGGCACUACCGGGUCCAGGCGAGCUCGCAGUGAGCGGAUUGCUGCCAGAGGCUACAGAGCCCGCGCCCACCUCGCUCCCCGGGGUCCGCCGCGUCCCCGCCGCCGCCGCCGCCGCCGCCGUCACGUCGCCAGCAGCGCCCGGCGGCGAUUGCAGCGCGCGCCGCCCCGACCGGGAUCUCUGCCGUUCACGUGACGUCGCCACCGCCGCCGCCGCCGCUAGCGUGACGCCCACGCCCGCCGCCACCGCGCCGGCGCCAUUGCCACUGCCGCCGUCGCCGCCGCCGCCACUCUCCAAGUCGAGGUGCGGCUCUAUUUCCGGGAAGGCACGUGACGCCGCGCUAGAUGGCAGGCCGCUGCCGCCGCCGGCGGGGCUGGCGGCGCCGCCGGUACGGUGGUUGUACGGCCCGUGCUCGGAUCCAACCACCGACCGUGGCGGUGACGUGGCUCCGGAUCCAGGUGUGGCGGCGCCGCCGGCUGACGCAGCCGCCGCUGCGGCGGCGGCGCGUUCCCGGUGCGAGCGCAGCAGUGGCGUUGGCGUCUGCGGGGGAGCGCCGGACGAUUGCGUUGUGUCAACAGGCAUCACCAUACCCGCCCUGCAUGCUGAACACACACACACACACACACACACACACACACACACGCGCACACACACACACCUAUACACACACACACACACACACACACACACACACACAUCAAAACACACGCAUACCCACGUGCUCGCCGCUGGUGCCGCCGCCGCACCUCCCGCGGCUGCUGCGCCCGCUGCCGCCGCCGCUGCGCCGCCCAGUGCCGCCCUUGUCACUGCCCACAAAGCUCCCGCCACCGCCGCCGCCGCCGCCCGCCGCCCGCUCCUGCGCCCGCCGCCGGGCGCGGCGGCGGUGCAGGAACACUAUGCCCGCCGCCACCGCCGCCGCCAGGGCAAUGAGGCCGGCGGCGGCGCCUACGGCGGGGCCAAUCACCGCCCCGAUGUCGGUUGAGGCGGGUGCCGCCGGCACAACCACCACAACCGCCGCGGGCUGGGCGGGCGGCGGCGGCGGCGCUGCGCCGCCGGCGAGGCCGCCGGCUCCUGCUGCGGUACGGCGAUGGUACGGUGGGUACGGUUAGACGAUUGGUACCGCAGGAGAUGUACCGUAACCUAGAGGCAUGUGUCCAGGAACUGAACACUGCCUGACGGUGUUGCACGGCCUUCGUACAGCUUCGUGAGGUCGAAUGCCGAACGGCCGACUGCACCACCGUACAACGACUCUGCAGCGUGUCCGCAGUUGGCUACUCAGGCACCCCACCAGUCGACCCAGGCACCCACCCGGUGGCGGGACAGCUUGUCCGAAGAUGGCUACCCAGGCAUCCCCCCCCUCGCUCAGUAGCCCCUCGCUCAAUAGCCCCUCGCUCAAUAGCCCCUCGCUCAAUAGCCCCUCGCUCAGUAGCCCCUCGCUCAGUAGCCCCUCGCUCUAUUGCAUUGGGUUCGGUUUAGUUUGGGCUGGUAUCUACACACACAUACACACACACACACGCACACACACACACACACACCAGCCGACCCAGGUACCCACCCGGCGGUGGCACAGCGGCCGUGGGUCCCCCUCCGCCACCGCCGCCGCCGCCUGGCCCCCCGGGCAGCGGCAGCAGCGGCGCGUUGGAGCCGGGCACGGAGGCGGCGGCGGGCGGCAGCGGGCUGGCACGUGGCGGGUCGGGCGGCGGCGGCGGCGGCGGAGGCCGCGGCGGCGGGGGCGGUUCUGUGGUGGACGGGUGGUGGGAGUGGGAGUGUGGAUGCAGGGGGCCCAAGGGGGACAGCUCGGCAGCGCGUGGGCACAUCCCACACACCGGAAUGCCUGAANNNNNNNNNNNNNNNNNNNNNNNNNNNNNNNNNNNNNNNNNNNNNNNNNNNNNNNNNNNNNNNNNNNNNNNNNNNNNNNNNNNNNNNNNNNNNNNNNNNNNNNNNNNNNNNNNNNNNNNNNNNNNNNNNNNNNNNNNNNNNNNNNNNNNNNNNNNNNNNNNNNNNNNNNNNNNNNNNNNNNNNNNNNNNNNNNNNNNNNNNNNNNNNNNNNNNNNNNNNNNNNNNNNNNNNNNNNNNNNNNNNNNNNNNNNNNNNNNNNNNNNNNNNNNNNNNNNNNNNNNNNNNNNNNNNNNNNNNNNNNNNNNNNNNNNNNNNNNNNNNNNNNNNNNNNNNNNNNNNNNNNNNNNNNNNNNNNNNNNNNNNNNNNNNNNNNNNNNNNNNNNNNNNNNNNNNNNNNNNNNNNNNNNNNNNNNNNNNNNNNNNNNNNNNNNNNNNNNNNNNNNNNNNNNNNNNNNNNNNNNNNNNNNNNNNNNNNNNNNNNNNNNNNNNNNNNNNNNNNNNNNNNNNNNNNNNNNNNNNNNNNNNNNNNNNNNNNNNNNNNNNNNNNNNNNNNNNNNNNNNNNNNNNNNNNNNNNNNNNNNNNNNNNNNNNNNNNNNNNNNNNNNNNNNNNNNNNNNNNNNNNNNNNNNNNNNNNNNNNNNNNNNNNNNNNNNNNNNNNNNNNNNNNNNNNNNNNNNNNNNNNNNNNNNNNNNNNNNNNNNNNNNNNNNNNNNNNNNNNNNNNNNNNNNNNNNNNNNNNNNNNNNNNNNNNNNNNNNNNNNNNNNNNNNNNNNNNNNNNNNNNNNNNNNNNNNNNNNNNNNNNNNNNNNNNNNNNNNNNNNNCACCCGCACACGCCGCCCACCUGCAGCGCCGCCGGCUGCGCGCCCGGCCGGCCUAGCCCCAGGUUCAUGAGUGACAGGAAGCGCAGCCGCAACACCGAGUAGGGCGGCACAGCCACCGCGCCUGUGUGUGAUUUAAAGAGCACAAAGAAAACAUUACGCGUAGGACUGUGUGUGCGUGUUGGGAGGGGGAUUCCAGGCACGAUUAGUCAGGAGAAGACGGCAAAGAAGGGUUAAAUGCAGGCGCCAGCACACAUAGGUUGGAUGAGGACAAACCGCAUGGAGGGGGAGUAGCCGUUCAUGGGGAACAGAGUGAUUGAACCAGUCAGCCCCCCAUCCCCGUGCCUGGUUAUCCCCAAUUUUGGGUUGGCAACGACUCCUUGGUUAUUGGGACCUAAUCCGUUGGGCUCGGGCACAUCAUUCCCCCCUUUUCUGCAUUGAGUUCGGUUUAGUUUGGGCUGAUAUCUACAAACGCCCCUGCCUGCCUGCCUGCUCACCGCUGAUGGCCUGCAGGCUGAGCGCCCGCACGGCUGUGGUCUGGCCGUCGCCCCAGAUGGUCAGGUUGGAACUGAGGGCCAGGCCGGCGGAGGGGGCGUACAGCUGGGCCUGAGGGGCAGAGGGGGGGAUUUCAAGGUUACAACAUUAGGGGGGCUACAUUCAUGAUUAGUUAAGGAAGUGGUAGACGGUAGAGCAUCUUGGGGAACAUCAAGGGGGGCCGGGGGUUCCAUGCAUGUCAAGUCAAGACGAGAUGAUGUUGGCAGGUUGUUUCAGAGGUGGGCGGGCGGGUUGGCGAUGCGCCGUUGGGGUGAAUCGGAGGUUGAAUCGGGAAGGUUGGGUUGGGAACGUCGAGCAGACCACCUCCGCCACACGCCCACGCCCACGCCCACAUGCCCCAUUCACACAUGCCGCCCGCCUCCUCAACCCCCCUGCCUGCCUGUGCUCCGCUCGUUCUCGUUGGUUUUGGGUUAGUUUGGGCUGGUAUUUACAACCCCCCCUUAAUUAAUCAUGAAUGUAACCCCCCCCCCCCCCACACACACACACACACACACACCUCCCUCCCCUCUGGCGCUGGACCUGUGGACGCAGUCGGUCAUCGGUACGCGCACCCCUGCGCCCGCUGUCUACUCCGCUACAUUUGCCUGUACCAAUCUUUACAAUCCCCACCCCCCAACCCCUUGACAGUCCCCACUCCUCACCCACACCCCCACCUGCAGUGUGUUGUCCCCCCGCAGCACCACCACGGAGGCGGCGGUGAAGGCGGUGGGGUCGAGCAGCAGGCUGGAGGCGCGGACCGAGGACAGCGGCACAGGGCCCACCUGCGGGGGGAGGAGAGAAAAGGGGAAGGAGGCGGGCGUGGAGGGCUACCGUGAUCCAAAACCCAACCCCGAUCCCCGGUGCCCCCACGCACCUCCCCAAUACCCUCCUCCCCAGCACCUGUCCCCCCCCCCAGCUCCUCCCCAAUACCCUCCUCCCCAGUAUCCUCCUCCCCAUUACCCUCCUCCCCCCCGCCCCCACCCCCGCCCCCACCCCCAAUCUCACCCCCAAUCCCACCCCCACCGCACCGUGCCGUACGGCGCCAGUGUGUCGAGCAGGUCCUGGCGAGAGGCGGCGGCGGUCAGGGGGGCCAGCGCCGCCAGCGGCGUGGCGGUUAUGCGGCAGUUGGUCCACGUCAUGCUGCCGUACAUCCACUCCCAGUACGGCACCUGCAGCGGCGGGCGGCGGCGGCGGCGGCGCAUGCGAAAAAAACAGUUGGGCGUUCAUGCCUGACUGCGCCUUCCCCUCCUGCACCCGGCACAGCGGACACGACAUCCUCCAACCCUCAAAACACACAGGCACAUACACACACACGCACACGCGUCUCCCCCACCUGGAUGCUGCCGUCCCCCGCCAGCGCCAGCCCAGGGCUGUACGACCGGAUGAGGCUGUCGACGCCCUCCAUACCGCCCGCCAGCGCGGCGCCAACCGCCGCCCGCCACCAGGCCAGCUCGCUAACCGACACAACAAACGUCACGUCGGUUGCCGUCAUGCGCAGCGGAGACUCCAGAGAUGCCAGCGGUUGCCUGGUUGGGACGAUAACGGUACGUUUGCGGGUGAGCGCACGCCGAAAACGCAAACGCUUACCACUCAAGUCCACUCCACCCACCCCACCCCGUCCACCUCCUACAAAGCCCACAAUCCAAACCCUGCAAACCCCUCCCCCUCAUUCCAUACUACGGUACCUCCGUUUAUCCACUCCUCCUUGGCUGCCCACCCCCACAGCCACCCCACCCCAUCCCCGCAACCCCACCCCUACCCACCCCACCCGCACACACAACCCCACCCCACCCCACCCCACCCCACCCCACCCGCACACACAACCCCAACCCACCCCACCCCGCACCCCCACCCCACCCCACCCCGCACCCCGACCCCAUCCCCGCACCCCCACCCCACCCCGCAUCCCGCACGCCCAGCCCACCUCUUGAAGUCCAGCAGCCACAGUGCCGCCGUCACCAGCGCCGCCGGGUACUGCGCCGCCGGCCCCAGCGCCAGGCCCGCCACCGUCAGCCGCCGCAGCUCCAGUCGGUUGGCGUCGCCGUCGCCCGCCACCUGAUGGCCGGGAGGGGAGAGGGAGGGGGGAGGGGGAUGUCCGGAAGGGGAGAGGGAAGGGGUGACACUCAUGCUUGUUUAUGAAGUGACGGCGUAGCCAGGGGGGAGGGGGGAUGUUCGGAAGUCUCGGGGGGAGAGGGAGGGGAGGCAUCCCAAACCCAACCAACCCAAGGGGGGUUCCAGUCACACCAGUCCGAAGGGCCGACGGGGCCGGGGUUACGGCGAUCAGGGGAGCCGCAGGAGUGGUGGCACGGUACGACAGUACAGCACGGCACGGUGUGUUUGGACGCGGUGCGGUAGGGUUCGAUGAUGUUCAGCAAUGUAGUGCACAAAGCAGGCAUCCCGUACACACACACACACACACACACACACACGCGCGCGCGCGCCGUACACAGAUACACACACGCGCGCGCUCCCCUCUCUCACCACCAUGAUUCCCGCCAGCUGCCGCAGGUCCACCUGCACCGCCGCGUCGGGCGGGCCUGCGCGGGGGGGGGUACAUUCAUGAUUAGUAUAGGAAGUGAAGUCGUAGGCAGGUGCAGUCGCAUAGUAGACGGGCGGGGGGAAGAGGAGGGACAGGCGGGACAGGCGGGGCAACCGGACCGGACAGGCGGUCAGGGUGAAGUGCGGAGGAGCUUGAAACAACACCGAUACCGUCUGUGACACACCCGUGCAGUCGGGCACGGACGUAUGAUGGCACAAACCCAGCAGUUCCGCCUGUGUGGCGCCGCGCGUUCCCCCCUCCUCCCCCUCCUCCUCCCCCUCCUCCUCCCCCUCCUCCUCCCCCUCCUCCUCCCCCUCCUCCCCCUCCACCCUCCUCCUCCACCCCUCCCCCUCGCCCCCCUCCUUCCCCCACUCCUCCAACCCCCUCACCCGCUAUGACGGUGCGGUUCACGGCCGACAACGUGCCGGCUCGCAUAUAGCUGGUGUCGGCACUGAUGUUGGCGCCCACCAUCGCAUACAGCGACCCAAGGGACAGCAGCGGGUUGAUGCGCGCCAGGGAGCGGGCCAGCUGCUCGCCGCUGCCCACGUAGGAGGCCACGCAGGGCAGGUACAUGGGCUGCAGGGCGG